CACGUAGUUAGCCGGCGCUUCUUAUCCAGGUACCCUCAACACCACCAAAAAGGCAGUGCCUUGUUCCCUGACGAAAGAGGUUUACAACCCGAAGGCCUUCAUCCCUCACGCGGCGUCGCUGCAUCAGGCUUGCGCCCAUUGUGCAAUAUUCCCCACUGCUGCCUCCCGUAGGAGUCUGGGCCGUAUCUCAGUCCCAGUGUGACCGUCCACCCUCUCAGGCCGGCUACCCGUACAAAGCCUUGGUAGGCCAUCACCCCACCAACAAGCUGAUAGGCCGCGAGCCCAUCCCUUACCAGAAAAACAACCUUUCCAAACCAACCCAUGCAGGAAGGCCAGAAUAUCCCGUAUUAGCUACCCUUUCGAGCAGUUAUCCAGGAAAGUAAGGGGCAGGUUACUCACGUGUUACUCACCCGUUCGCCACUAAUCAACCAAGCAAGCUUGGUAUUUUCGUUCGUACUUGCAUGUGUUAAGCACGCCGCCAGCGUUCGUCCUGUAGCCAGGAUACAAACUACU
This 513-nucleotide ribosomal RNA is filed under the name uncultured Actinomyces sp. Its description in RNAcentral is "partial 16S ribosomal RNA". Lineage: Bacteria; Bacillati; Actinomycetota; Actinomycetes; Actinomycetales; Actinomycetaceae. The record is from RNAcentral.